AAUAGAUACCCUGGUAGUCCACCCCGUAAACGUUGGGAACUAGUUGUGGGGUCCUUUCCACGGAUUCCGUGACGCAGCUAACGCAUUAAGUUCCCCGCCUGGGGAGUACGGCCGCAAGGCUAAAACUCAAAGGAAUUGACGGGGACCCGCACAAGCGGCGGAGCAUGCGGAUUAAUUCGAUGCAACGCGAAGAACCUUACCAAGGCUUGACAUACACCGGAAACGGCCAGAGAUGGUCGCCCCGCAAGGUCGGUGUACAGGUGGUGCAUGGUUGUCGUCAGCUCGUGUCGUGAGAUGUUGGGUUAAGUCCCGCAACGAGCGCAACCCUCGUUCUAUGUUGCCAGCACGUAAUGGUGGGAACUCAUGGGAUACUGCCGGGGUCAACUCGGAGGAAGGUGGGGAUGACGUCAAAUCAUCAUGCCCCUUAUGUCUUGGGCUUCACGCAUGCUACAAUGGCCGGUACAAAGGGCUGCAACACCGUGAGGUUGAGCGAAUCCCAAAAAGCCGGUCCGGUUCGGAUUGGAGGCUGCAACUCGCCUCCAUGAAGGCGGU
RNAcentral lists this ribosomal RNA (552 nucleotides) under uncultured bacterium. RNAcentral's name for it is "bacterial SSU rRNA". It matches the Rfam family "Bacterial small subunit ribosomal RNA", at positions 777 to 1330 of the family's 1533-position model. The record is from RNAcentral.